GGGCCCGUCGUCUAGUGGUAGGACUUUAAUCCUGAAACCUGCCUGACACGCAGGAGGUCAGGGGUUCAAAUCCCCUCGGGCCCA
RNAcentral lists this transfer RNA (84 nucleotides) under Candidatus Bathyarchaeota archaeon. Its description in RNAcentral is "tRNA-Val". It matches the Rfam family "tRNA". Rfam says of the family: Transfer RNA (tRNA) molecules are approximately 80 nucleotides in length. Lineage: Archaea; Thermoproteati; Candidatus Bathyarchaeota. The record is from RNAcentral.